GAUGAACGCUAGCGGCAGGCUUAACACAUGCAAGUCGAGGGGUAUAGUUCUUCGGAAUUAGAGACCGGCGCACGGGUGCGUAACGCGUAUGCAAUCUACCUUUCACAAAGGGAUAGCCCAGAGAAAUUUGGAUUAAUACCUUAUAGUAAUACGACUUGGCAUCAAGAUGUAUUUAAAGAUUUAUCGGUGAAAGAUGAGCAUGCGUCCCAUUAGCUUGUUGGUAAGGUAACGGCUUACCAAGGCAACGAUGGGUAGGGGUCCUGAGAGGGAGAUCCCCCACACUGGUACUGAGACACGGACCAGACUCCUACGGGAGGCAGCAGUGAGGAAUAUUGGACAAUGGGCGCAAGCCUGAUCCAGCCAUGCCGCGUGCAGGAAUAAGGUCCUAUGGAUUGUAAACUGCUUUUAUACAGGAAGAAACACACCCUCGUGAGGGUACUUGACGGUACUGUAUGAAUAAGGACCGG
This 467-nucleotide ribosomal RNA is filed under the name uncultured bacterium. Its description in RNAcentral is "bacterial SSU rRNA". It matches the Rfam family "Bacterial small subunit ribosomal RNA", at positions 28 to 496 of the family's 1533-position model. The record is from RNAcentral.